RNAcentral lists this ribosomal RNA (429 nucleotides) under Chloroflexota bacterium. RNAcentral's name for it is "Chloroflexi bacterium partial 16S ribosomal RNA". It matches the Rfam family "Bacterial small subunit ribosomal RNA", at positions 355 to 776 of the family's 1533-position model. Lineage: Bacteria; Bacillati; Chloroflexota. The record is from RNAcentral.
UGGGGAAUAUUGCACAAUGGGCGCAAGCCUGAUGCAGCCAUGCCGCGUGUAUGAAGAAGGCCUUCGGGUUGUAAAGUACUUUCAGCGGGGAGGAAGGGAGUAAAGUUAAUACCUUUGCUCAUUGACGUUACCCGCAGAAGAAGCACCGGCUAACUCCGUGCCAGCAGCCGCGGUAAUACGGAGGGUGCAAGCGUUAAUCGGAAUUACUGGGCGUAAAGCGCACGCAGGCGGUUUGUUAAGUCAGAUGUGAAAUCCCCGGGCUCAACCUGGGAACUGCAUCUGAUACUGGCAAGCUUGGGUCUCGUAGAGGGGGGUAGAAUUCCAGGUGUAGCGGUGAAAUGCGUAGAGAUCUGGAGGAAUACCGGUGGCGAAGGCGGCCCCCUGGACGAAGACUGACGCUCAGGUGCGAAAGCGUGGGGAGCAAACAAG